Molecule: ribosomal RNA, 254 nt
Filed under: uncultured bacterium
Lineage: Bacteria
Description: partial 16S ribosomal RNA
Rfam family: Bacterial small subunit ribosomal RNA
Source: RNAcentral
GACGUAGGGCGCAAGCGUUGUCCGGAUUUAUUGGGCGUAAAGAGCUCGUAGGCGGCUUGUCGCGUCGACUGUGAAAACCCGUGGCUCAACCAUGUGGUCUGCAGUCGAUACGGGCAGGCUAGAAUUCGGUAGGGGAGACUGGAAUUCCUGGUGUAGCGGUGAAAUGCGCAGAUAUCAGGAGGAACACCGGUGGCGAAGGCGGGUCUCUGGGCCGAUAUUGACGCUGAGGGACGAAAGCUAGGGGAGCGAAUGGG